AACGAACGCUGGCGGCAUGCUUAACACAUGCAAGUCGAACGGACCCUUCGGGGUCAGUGGCGCACGGGUGAGUAACGCGUGGGAACCUGUCGAGGAGUGGGGAACAACCACUGGAAACGGUGGCUAAUACCGCAUGUGCCCUGCGGGGCAAAGGUCUUAAAGACCGCUUUUCGAGGGGCCCGCGUCCGAUUACGCUGGUUGGUGGGGUAACGGCCUACCAAGGCUGCGAUUGGUAGCUGGUCUGAGAGGAUGAUCAGCCACACUGGGACUGGGACACGGCCCAGACUCCUACGGGAGGCGGCAGUGGGGAAUAUUGGACAAUGGGCGCAAGCCUGAUCCAGCAAUGCCGCGUGAGUGAAGAAGGCCUUAGGGUUGUAAAGCUCUUUCGCCCGCGACGAUGAUGACGGUAGCGGGAGAAGAAGCCCCGGCUAAUUCCGUGCCAGCCGCCGCCGUAA
Molecule: ribosomal RNA, 455 nt
Filed under: uncultured bacterium
Lineage: Bacteria
Description: partial 16S ribosomal RNA
Rfam family: Bacterial small subunit ribosomal RNA
Source: RNAcentral